RNAcentral lists this ribosomal RNA (429 nucleotides) under uncultured bacterium. Its description in RNAcentral is "bacterial SSU rRNA". It matches the Rfam family "Bacterial small subunit ribosomal RNA", at positions 355 to 775 of the family's 1533-position model. The record is from RNAcentral.
UCGAGAAUCAUUCGCAAUGGGCGAAAGCCUGACGAUGCGACGCCGUGUGAGCGAAGAAGGCCUUCGGGUUGUAAAGCUCUUUCGCUUGGGAACAAGAGGAGGCAAGUAAUAUAUGCCGACUUUGAGGGUACCAGGUAAAGAAGCACCGGCUAACUACGUGCCAGCAGCUGCGGUAAUACGUAGGGUGCAAGCAUUAAUCGGAGUUAUUGGGCGUAAAGGGCGCGUAGGCGGUUUAGUAAGUCUUGAUGUGAAAUUCCUGGGCUCAACCUAGGAGCUGCAUGAGAAACUACUAAACUCGAGGAUGGACGGAGAGAACGGAAUUCCACAAGUAGCGGUGAAAUGCGUAGAUAUGUGGAAGAACACCUGUGGCGAAGGCGGUUCUCUAGUUUAUUCCUGACGCUGAGGCGCGAAAGCAAGGGGAGCAAACAG